CGGGCUUCCGCCUGGCGGCGAGUGGCGAACGGGUGAGUAAUAUAUCGGAACGUACCCAGAAGUGGGGGAUAACGUAGCGAAAGUUACGCUAAUACCGCAUACGAUCUACGGAUGAAAGUAGGGGACCGCAAGGCCUUAUGCUUUUGGAGCGGCCGAUAUCUGAUUAGCUAGUUGGUGAGGUAAAGGCUCACCAAGGCGACGAUCAGUAGCUGGUCUGAGAGGACGACCAGCCACACUGGAACUGAGACACGGUCCAGACUCCUACGGGAGGCAGCAGUGGGGAAUUUUGGACAAUGGGGGCAACCCUGAUCCAGCAAUGCCGCGUGAGUGAAGAAGGCCUUCGGGUUGUAAAGCUCUUUUGUCAGGGAAGAAACGGCUGUGGCUAAUAUCCACGGCUAAUGACGGUACCUGAAGAAUAAGCACCGGCUAACUACGUGCCAGCAGCCGCGGUAAUACGUAGGGUGCAAGCGUUAAUCGGAAUUACUGGGCGUAAAGCGUGCGCAGGCGGUUUCGUAAGUCUGAUGUGAAAUCCCCGGGCUUAACCUGGGAAUUGCAUUGGAGACUGCGAGGCUAGAAUCUGGCAGAGGGGGGUAGAAUUCCACGUGUAGCAGUGAAAUGCGUAGAGAUGUGGAGGAACACCGAUGGCGAAGGCAGCCCCCUGGGUCAAGAUUGACGCUCAUGCACGAAAGCGUGGGGAGCAAACAGGAUUAGAUACCCUGGUAGUCCACGCCCUAAACGAUGUCUACUAGUUGUCGGGUUUUAAUUAACUUGGUAACGCAGCUAACGCGUGAAGUAGACCGCCUGGGGAGUACGGUCGCAAGAUUAAAACUCAAAGGAAUUGACGGGGACCCGCACAAGCGGUGGAUGAUGUGGAUUAAUUCGAUGCAACGCGAAAAACCUUACCUACCCUUGACAUGUCAGGAAGUCCGGAGAGAUCUGGAUGUGCCCGAAAGGGAACCUGAACACAGGUGCUGCAUGGCUGUCGUCAGCUCGUGUCGUGAGAUGUUGGGUUAAGUCCCGCAACGAGCGCAACCCUUGUCAUUAGUUGCUACGAAAGAGCACUCUAAUGAGACUGCCGGUGACAAACCGGAGGAAGGUGGGGAUGACGUCAAGUCCUCAUGGCCCUUAUGGGUAGGGCUUCACACGUCAUACAAUGGUACAUACAGAGGGCCGCCAACCCGCGAGGGGGAGCUAAUCCCAGAAAGUGUAUCGUAGUCCGGAUCGUAGUCUGCAACUCGACUACGUGAAGUUGGAAUCGCUAGUAAUCGCGGAUCAGCAUGCCGCGGUGAAUACGUUCCCGGGUCUUGUACACACCGCCCGUCACACCAUGGGAGCGGGUUUUACCAGAAGUAGGUAGCUUAACCG
Molecule: ribosomal RNA, 1365 nt
Filed under: uncultured bacterium
Lineage: Bacteria
Description: bacterial SSU rRNA
Rfam family: Bacterial small subunit ribosomal RNA
Source: RNAcentral